Long non-coding RNA from Oncorhynchus tshawytscha (Chinook salmon), 740 nucleotides. The record is from Ensembl. Lineage: Eukaryota; Metazoa; Chordata; Actinopteri; Salmoniformes; Salmonidae.
CUCAACCUGUCCAGAUACUGUAGUAUUAUGUCAAUGCAUAAGUAAGUUGAUCUCAUCAAUGCGGGGUCUUUCUUGGUAGGGUGCCGUCACAACAAUCCUGUUCAUAACUUCAGAUAGAAAGAUCUAGAAAGACCAUUCACAACGUAAAGCUUUUGAAAACAAACCGACAACGGUGUACCACCGCUUCAGCUGCGCAGGCCAGGAGUAACAAUGAGGACUUAACCAUAAACCAAAGACAAAGCGUCUGAUUGAACAGGUGUCUCCAGAGCCAAAUCUGUGUCCCAAAUGGCACCCUAUUCCCUAAAUAGUGCACUACUUUAGACCAGAGCCCUAUGGCGCCCUAUUCAGUAUAUAGUGCACUACUUUCUAAAAGUAGAACACUAUAUUAGGGAAUAGGGCACCAUUUGGGACACAGAACCUCUGUUGAUCUUGGCUUAAAACACACAAGACAAGCAUCUCCUCAACGAUAAGCCAACAAGUGACGCCCCCUUACCCCAUAGGCAGAGGGGAGGGAGAGACAGAGAGAGAGAGAGCAGAGAGAGAGAGGUUGAUUCCUGACACUGUUCCUGAGCAUGGUGGUUUGACUGACUAGGGGAGGUAGGAAGUAUACAGGAAAUGCUGAAGACAGGAGGAACCACAGCACAUGACCGAAAGGUGGAGAGAAGAGGUGGAGGAAAGGAGUCCAGAGUCUGAUCUAGAGAGAAAGAGAGAGAGAGAAAGAGAGAAGAGAGAGAGACGAG